GCCUAACACAUGCAAGUCGAGCGCUGAUUACGAGGUAGCAAUAUUUCGUAGUUGGAGCGGCGCAAGGGUGAGUAAUACAUCGGAACGUGUCCUGUCGUGGGGGAUAACCAGUCGAAAGACUGGCUAAUACCGCAUGAGAUCGAAAGAUGAAAGCGGGGGACCGCAAGGCCUCGCGCGAUUGGAGCGGCCGAUGUCGGAUUAGCUAGUUGGCGGGGUAAAAGCCCACCAAGGCUACGAUCCGUAGCUGGUUUGAGAGAACGACCAGCCACACUGGGACUGAGACACGGCCCAGACUCCUACGGGAGGCAGCAGUGGGGAAUUUUGGACAAUGGGGGCAACCCUGAUCCAGCCAUGCCGCGUGUGUGAAGAAGGCCUUCGGGUUGUAAAGCACUUUCGGCCGGAACGAAAUCGUCUUCGUUAAUAGCGGGGAUGGAUGACGGUACCGGAAGAAGAAGCACCGGCUAACUACGUGCCAGCAGCCGCGGUAAU
RNAcentral lists this ribosomal RNA (489 nucleotides) under uncultured bacterium. RNAcentral describes it as "bacterial SSU rRNA". It matches the Rfam family "Bacterial small subunit ribosomal RNA", at positions 46 to 524 of the family's 1533-position model. The record is from RNAcentral.